This 434-nucleotide ribosomal RNA is filed under the name uncultured bacterium. RNAcentral's name for it is "partial 16S ribosomal RNA". It matches the Rfam family "Bacterial small subunit ribosomal RNA", at positions 29 to 507 of the family's 1533-position model. The record is from RNAcentral.
AGCGAACGCUGGCGGCAGGCCUAACACAUGCAAGUCGAACGAACCUUUCGGGGUUAGUGGCGGACGGGUGAGUAACACGUGGGAACGUGCCUUUAGGUUCGGAAUCACUCAGGGAAACUUGUGCUAAUACCGAAUGUGCCCUUCGGGGGAAAGAUUAAUCGCCUUUAGAGCGGCCCGCGUCUGAUUAGCUAGUUGGUUGAGGUAAUGGCUCACCAAGGCGACGAUCAGUAGCUGGUCUGAGAGGAUGAUCAGCCACAUUGGGACUGAGACACGGCCCAAACUCCUACGGGAGGCAGCAGUGGGGAAUCUUGCGCAAUGGGCGAAAGCCUGACGCAGCCAUGCCGCGUGAAUGAUGAAGGUCUUAGGAUUGUAAAAUUCUUUCACCGGGGACGAUAAUGACGGUACCCGGAGAAGAAGCCCCGGCUAACUUCGUG